Monomorium pharaonis (pharaoh ant) is the source of this 232-nucleotide long non-coding RNA. RefSeq lists it as uncharacterized. The record is from RefSeq and is a predicted model, not a curated record. The transcript has 3 exons. NCBI's taxonomy places the organism in Eukaryota, Metazoa, Arthropoda, Insecta, Hymenoptera, Formicidae.
GUAGUGGCUUGCAUUAUUCGUACGACGAAAAGAUUGUAGUUUUUAGCGAUAAGAAGGUGAAAGAUUUUUAAGCUUGUGCUGGUUGGUGCGUUUUUUCUUUGUGCAAUAAAACGUAAUUGGUGGUUUGCACAGAAGGUGGUUAAAUCCAAAAGAUAUAAAGGAUUUUUAAAUUAUUGAAAUGUAAGUAAUAAAAUUAUAAAUAUGUGUUAUUAUUUAUUAAAUAUUCAUAAAA